CGCUAGCGGCAGGCUUAACACAUGCAAGUCGAGGGGCAGCAUAAUGGAUAGCAAUAUCUAUGGUGGCGACCGGCGCACGGGUGCGUAACGCGUAUGCAACCUACCUUUAACAGGGGGAUAACACUGAGAAAUUGGUACUAAUACCCCAUAAUAUCAUAGAAGGCAUCUUUUAUGGUUGAAAAUUCCGAUGGUUAGAGAUGGGCAUGCGUUGUAUUAGCUAGUUGGUGGGGUAACGGCUCACCAAGGCGACGAUACAUAGGGGGACUGAGAGGUUAACCCCCCACACUGGUACUGAGACACGGACCAGACUCCUACGGGAGGCAGCAGUGAGGAAUAUUGGUCAAUGGACGCAAGUCUGAACCAGCCAUGCCGCGUGCAGGAUGACGGCUCUAUGAGUUGUAAACUGCUUUUGUACUAGGGUAAACUCACCUACGUGUAGGUGACUGAAAGUAUAGUACGAAUAAGGAUCGGCUAACUCCGUG
This 482-nucleotide ribosomal RNA is filed under the name uncultured bacterium. RNAcentral's name for it is "bacterial SSU rRNA". It matches the Rfam family "Bacterial small subunit ribosomal RNA", at positions 34 to 507 of the family's 1533-position model. The record is from RNAcentral.